Small nuclear RNA from Anopheles maculipalpis, 107 nucleotides. The record is from RefSeq and is a predicted model, not a curated record. NCBI's taxonomy places the organism in Eukaryota, Metazoa, Arthropoda, Insecta, Diptera, Culicidae.
GUCUUUACGUCGGCAAGACAAAUUCUAGAAUUGGAACGAUGCAGAGAAGCUUAGCAUGACCUUUGCGCAAGGAUAAAUAGAAUCUUGGGGAGGCUGAUCGCUUCAUU